AUUGAACGCUGGCGGCAUGCUUUACACAUGCAAGUCGAACGGUAACAGGGUGCUUGCGCCGCUGACGAGUGGCGAACGGGUGAGUAAUGCAUCGGAAUGUACCGUGUAAUGGGGGAUAGCUCGGCGAAAGCCGGAUUAAUACCGCAUACGCCCUGAGGGGGCAAGUGGGGGACCGAAAGGCCUCACGUUAUACGAGCAGCCGAUGUCUGAUUAGCUAGUUGGUGAGGUAAAGGCUCACCAAGGCGGCGAUCAGUAGCGGGUCUGAGAGGAUGAUCCGCCACACUGGGACUGAGACACGGCCCAGACUCCUACGGGAGGCAGCAGUGGGGAAUUUUGGACAAUGGGCGCAAGCCUGAUCCAGCCAUGCCGCGUGUCUGAAGAAGGCCUUCGGGUUGUAAAGGACUUUUGUCCGGGAGCAAAUCCUAGUGGUUAAUAACCGCUGGGUCUGAGAGUACCGGAAGAAUAAGCACCGGCUAACUACGUG
Molecule: ribosomal RNA, 484 nt
Filed under: uncultured bacterium
Lineage: Bacteria
Description: partial 16S ribosomal RNA
Rfam family: Bacterial small subunit ribosomal RNA
Source: RNAcentral